Molecule: long non-coding RNA, 500 nt
Filed under: Phasianus colchicus (ring-necked pheasant)
Lineage: Eukaryota; Metazoa; Chordata; Aves; Galliformes; Phasianidae
Description: lncRNA (ENSPCLG00000003727.1)
Source: RNAcentral
UGAUUCUUAAGUGCAGGUUGCGUCUGCUGCUUGUACACAGUCUCUGGUUCCUGGUUGCUGUGAGCUUGUAAGGGGCCCAUUUCAACCUGGUUUGUUCAAAGGGACCCAUGGAUGAGACCUCAAAUGGAGUCCUGGACAAUAGCAGUUAGCCUAGGUAUUCCAGGUAUCUCUGGUGGUGCCUGGGAAAUGGAAGUACUGUAGCUUAGUCUCCAAACUGGAUGGCAGUAAGGAGCAAAGAAACCCGUGGGACAACAUGGUCCACUACCAUUGCAGCAUAUCAGUGUGUCAGCAUAAAGUAGGAUUUACUAGAAGAGCUGGAACUAGAUUUGAGAGAGAACAGAAUGAGCUUUUCCAGCAGCCUCUUCUCUUUCCUCAGAGGCACUGAAAGUGCACCAUGGACCCACCAUGAAGUUUCCUCAACUACAAAGUCUGUGAGAUCACUGUGUGCUUGAGUCUCAUCAUCUGCAUCACUGCACAGAUUUUUGUGUCUGCCAUACUUG